GACGAACGCUGGCGGCGUGCUUAACACAUGCAAGUCGAACGGAAAGGCCCUGCUUUUGUGGGGUGCUCGAGUGGCGAACGGGAGAGUAACACGUGAGUAACCUGCCCUUGACUUUGGGAUAACUUCAGGAAACUGGGGCUAAUACCGGAUAGGAGCUCCUGCUGCAUGGUGGGGGUUGGAAAGUUUCGGCGGUUGGGGAUGGACUCGCGGCUUAUCAGCUUGUUGGUGGGGUAGUGGCCUACCAAGGCUUUGACGGGUAGCCGGCCUGAGAGGGUGACCGGCCACAUUGGGACUGAGAUACGGCCCAGACUCCUACGGGAGGCAGCAGUGGGGAAUAUUGCACAAUGGGCGGAAGCCUGAUGCAGCAACGCCGCGUGCGGGAUGACGGCCUUCGGGUUGUAAACCGCUUUCGCCUGUGACGAAGCGUGAGUGACGGUAAUGGGUAAAGAAGCACCGGCUAACUACGUG
This 468-nucleotide ribosomal RNA is filed under the name uncultured bacterium. RNAcentral's name for it is "partial 16S ribosomal RNA". It matches the Rfam family "Bacterial small subunit ribosomal RNA", at positions 28 to 507 of the family's 1533-position model. The record is from RNAcentral.